This 492-nucleotide ribosomal RNA is filed under the name uncultured bacterium. Its description in RNAcentral is "partial 16S ribosomal RNA". It matches the Rfam family "Bacterial small subunit ribosomal RNA", at positions 29 to 507 of the family's 1533-position model. The record is from RNAcentral.
AGUGAACGCUGGCGGUAGGCCUAACACAUGCAAGUCGAACGGCAGCACAGUAAGAGCUUGCUCUUACGGGUGGCGAGUGGCGGACGGGUGAGGUAUACAUCGGAAUCUACUUUUUCGUGGGGGAUAACGUAGGGAAACUUACGCUAAUACCGCAUACGACCUACGGGUGAAAGCAGGGGAUCUUCGGACCUUGCGCGAUUGAAUGAGCCGAUGUCGGAUUAGCUAGUUGGCGGGGUAAAGGCCCACCAAGGCGACGAUCCGUAGCUGGUCUGAGAGGAUGAGCAGGCACACGGGAACUGGAACACGGUCCAGACGCCUACGGGAGGCAGCAGUGGGGAAUAUUGGACAGUGGGCGGAAGCCUGAUCCAGCCAUACCGCGUGGGUGAAGAAGGCCUUCGGGUUGUAAAGCCCUUUUGUUGGGAAAGAAAAGCAGCAGGUUAAUACCCCGCUGUUCUGACGGUACCCAAAGAAUAAGCACCGGCUAACUUCGUG